CCUACGGUAGGCAGCAGUGAGGAAUAUUGGUCAAUGGACGAUAGUCUGAACCAGCCAAGUAGCGUGAAGGAUGACUGCCCUAUGGGUUGUAAACUUCUUUUAUAAGGGAAUAAAGUGCGGCACGUGUGCCUUUUUGCAUGUACUUUAUGAAUAAGGAUCGGCUAACUCCGUGCCAGCAGCCGCGGUAAUACGGAGGAUCCGAGCGUUAUCCGGAUUUAUUGGGUUUAAAGGGAGCGUAGAUGGGUUGUUAAGUCAGUUGUGAAAGUUUGCGGCUCAACCGUAAAAUUGCAGUUGAUACUGGCAGUCUUGAGUACAGUAGAGGUAGGCGGAAUUCGUGGUGUAGCGGUGAAAUGCUUAGAUAUCACGAAGAACUCCGAUUGCGAAGGCAGCUUACUAAACUGUGACUGACGUUGAUGCUCGAAAGUGUGGGUAUCAAACAGGAUUAGAUACCCUUGUAGUC
This 460-nucleotide ribosomal RNA is filed under the name uncultured bacterium. Its description in RNAcentral is "partial 16S ribosomal RNA". It matches the Rfam family "Bacterial small subunit ribosomal RNA", at positions 338 to 795 of the family's 1533-position model. The record is from RNAcentral.